RNAcentral lists this ribosomal RNA (449 nucleotides) under uncultured bacterium. Its description in RNAcentral is "partial 16S ribosomal RNA". It matches the Rfam family "Bacterial small subunit ribosomal RNA", at positions 328 to 793 of the family's 1533-position model. The record is from RNAcentral.
AUUCCAGACUCCUACGGGAGGCAGCAGUGGUUUAUAUUGCACAAUUUGUUAAACCCUGAUGCAUCAACGCCGCUUUAUUGAGGAAGUCUUUCGGUAUGUAAAUCUCUAUCAGCAUUGAAUAGAAAAGAAUUUACCUGAAAAAGAAUCCCCGGCUAACCACGUUCCAGCAGCCGCGUUAAUACGUAGGGGGCAAGCGUUAUCCGGAUUUACUGUGUGUAAAGGGAGCGUAGACGGAAAGGCAAGUCAGAAGUGAAAGACAAAGGCUCAACAAUGGGACUGCUUUUGAAACUGGCAAACUAGAGUACGGGAGAGGUAAGAGGAAUUCCUAGUGUAGAGGUGAAAUGAGUAGAUAUUAGGAGGAACACCAGUGGCGAAGGAGUCUUACUGGACAGAAACUGAAGUUGAGGCUCGAAAGAGUGGGGAGCAAAAAGGAUUAGAUACCCGAGUAC